AACGAACGCUGGCGGCAUGCCUAACACAUGCAAGUCGAACGAGACCUUCGGGUCUAGUGGCGCACGGGUGCGUAACGCGUGGGAACCUGCCCUUAGGUUCGGAAUAACUCCCCGAAAGGGGUGCUAAUACCGGAUAAUGUCUUCGGACCAAAGAUUUAUCGCCUUUGGAUGGGCCCGCGUUGGAUUAGCUAGUUGGUAGGGUAAAAGCCUACCAAGGCGACGAUCCAUAGCUGGUCUGAGAGGAUGAUCAGCCACACUGGGACUGGGACACGGCCCAGACUCCUACGGGAGGCAGGAGUGGGGAAUAUAGGACAAUGGGCGGAAGGCUGAUCCAGCAAUGCCGCGUGAGUGAUGAAGGCCUUAGAGUUGUAAAGCUCUUUUACCCGGGAUGAUAAUGACAGUACCGGGAGAAUAAGCUCCGGCUAACUCCGUG
Molecule: ribosomal RNA, 433 nt
Filed under: uncultured bacterium
Lineage: Bacteria
Description: partial 16S ribosomal RNA
Rfam family: Bacterial small subunit ribosomal RNA
Source: RNAcentral